This 301-nucleotide ribosomal RNA is filed under the name uncultured bacterium. RNAcentral describes it as "partial 16S ribosomal RNA". It matches the Rfam family "Bacterial small subunit ribosomal RNA", at positions 509 to 807 of the family's 1533-position model. The record is from RNAcentral.
CAGUCGCCGCGGUAAUACAGAGGGUGCGAGCGUUAAUCGGAUUUACUGGGCGUAAAGCGUGCGUAGGCGGAUUUUUAAGUCGGAUGUGAAAUCCCUGAGCUUAACUUAGGAAUUGCAUUCGAUACUGGGAAGCUAGAGUAUGGGAGAGGAUGGUAGAAUUCCAGGUGUAGCGGUGAAAUGCGUAGAGAUCUGGAGGAAUACCGAUGGCGAAGGCAGCCAUCUGGCCUAAUACUGACGCUGAGGUACGAAAGCAUGGGGAGCAAACAGGAUUAGAUACCCCAGUAGUCCCUGUCUCUUAUAC